Molecule: ribosomal RNA, 289 nt
Filed under: uncultured Peredibacter sp.
Lineage: Bacteria; Pseudomonadati; Bdellovibrionota; Bacteriovoracia; Bacteriovoracales; Bacteriovoracaceae
Description: partial 16S ribosomal RNA
Source: RNAcentral
CUACCCGGGUAUCUAAUCCUGUUUGCUCCCCACGCUUUCGCGCCUCAGCGUCAAUAGUCGUCCAGGCAGGCGCCUUCGCCUCCGGUGUUCCUUCACAUCUCUACGGAUUUUACCCCUACACGUGAAAUUCCCCUGCCCCCUCCGACAUUCUAGACUAAUAGUUUCAGGCGCAGUUUCGAGGUUGAGCCUCGAGAUUUCACACCUGACUUAUCAAUCCGCCUGCGCGCGCUUUACGCCCAAUGAUUCCGAAUAACGCUUGCACCCUUCGUAUUACCGCGGCGGCUGGCAC